Molecule: ribosomal RNA, 715 nt
Filed under: Carpophilus (Myothorax) sp. G40
Lineage: Eukaryota; Metazoa; Arthropoda; Insecta; Coleoptera; Nitidulidae
Description: SSU rRNA
Rfam family: Eukaryotic small subunit ribosomal RNA
Source: RNAcentral
GCGGUUAAAAAGCUCGUAGUCGAAUCUGUGUCCCGCACCGCCGGUUCAUCGUGUUCGCGGUGUUAACUGGCGUGCCGCGGGACGUCCUGCCGGUGGGCUUAGCUCUUGGCGGCCCAACUCAAUCCCGCCGCGGUGCUCUUCAUUGAGUGUCGAGGUGGGCCGGCACGUUUACUUUGAACAAAUUAGAGUGCUUAAAGCAGGCUAAAACUUCGCCUGAAUACUGUGUGCAUGGAAUAAUGGAAUAGGACCUCGGUUCUAUUUUGUUGGUUUUCGGAACCCCGAGGUAAUGAUUAAUAGGAACGGAUGGGGGCAUUCGUAUUGCGACGUUAGAGGUGAAAUUCUUGGAUCGUCGCAAGACGGACAGAAGCGAAAGCAUUUGCCAAAAACGCUUUCAUUGAUCAAGAACGAAAGUUAGAGGCGAAGGCGAUCAGAUACCGCCCUAGUUCUAACCAUAAACGAUGCCAGCUAGCGAUCCGCCGACGUUCCUCCGAUGACUCGGCGGGCAGCUUCCGGGAAACCAAAGCUUUUGGGUUCCGGGGGAAGUAUGGUUGCAAAGCUGAAACUUAAAGGAAUUGACGGAAGGGCACCACCAGGAGUGGAGCCUGCGGCUUAAUUUGACUCAACACGGGAAACCUCACCAGGCCCGGACACCGGAAGGAUUGACAGAUUGAGAGCUCUUUCUUGAUUCGGUGGGUGGUGGUGCAUGGCCGUUCUU